UAGGGAAUAUUGGUCAAUGGAGGCAACUCUGAACCAGCCAUGCCGCGUGAAGGAUGAAGGCCCUCUGGGUUGUAAACUUCUUUUCUACGGGAAUAAACCUCGUUACGUGUAAUGAGUUGAAGGUACCGUAGGAAUAAGGAUCGGCUAACUCCGUGCCAGCAGCCGCGGUAAUACGGAGGAUUCUAGCGUUGUCCGGAUUUAUUGGGUUUAAAGGGUGCGUAGGCGGAUGACUAAGUCAGGGGUGAAAGCCGGCAGCUUAACUGUCGAAAUGCCUUUGAAACUGGUCAUCUUGAAUAUAGUUGAGGUAGGCGGAAUGUGACAUGUAGCGGUGAAAUGCUUAGAUAUGUUACAGAACACCGAUUGCGAAGGCAGCUUACUAAACUAUCAUUGACGCUGAGGCACGAAAGCGUGGGGAUCAAACAGG
This 424-nucleotide ribosomal RNA is filed under the name uncultured bacterium. Its description in RNAcentral is "bacterial SSU rRNA". It matches the Rfam family "Bacterial small subunit ribosomal RNA", at positions 355 to 776 of the family's 1533-position model. The record is from RNAcentral.